AUUGAACGCUGGCGGCAUGAUUUACACAUGCAAGUCGAACGGUAACAGGCCGCUAGGUGCUGACGAGUGGCGAACGGGUGAGUAAUGCAUCGGAACGUGCCCAGUCGUGGGGGAUAACUACUCGACAGAGUAGCUAAUACCGCAUACGAUCUAUGGUUGAAAGCGGGGGACCGUAAGGCCUCGCGCGAUUGGAGCGGCCGAUGUCAGAUUAGGUAGUUGUUGGGGUAAAGGCUCACCAAGCCAACGAUCUGUAGCUGGUCUGAGAGGACGACCAGCCACACUGGGACUGAGACACGGCCCAGACUCCUACGGGAGGCAGCAGUGGGGAAUUUUGGACAAUGGGCGCAAGCCUGAUCCAGCAAUGCCGCGUGCAGGAAGAAGGCCUUCGGGUUGUAAACUGCUUUUGUACGGAACGAAACGGCUCUGGUUAAUACCCGGAGCUAAUGACGGUACCGUAAGAAUAAGCACCGGCUAACUACGUG
RNAcentral lists this ribosomal RNA (482 nucleotides) under uncultured bacterium. Its description in RNAcentral is "partial 16S ribosomal RNA". It matches the Rfam family "Bacterial small subunit ribosomal RNA", at positions 30 to 507 of the family's 1533-position model. The record is from RNAcentral.